Bos taurus (domestic cattle) is the source of this 72-nucleotide non-coding RNA. The record is from Rfam. Lineage: Eukaryota; Metazoa; Chordata; Mammalia; Artiodactyla; Bovidae.
UCCCUGAUAGCACAGUUGGUAAAGAAUCUGCCUGCAAUGCAGGAGGCCCAGGUUCAAUUCCUGGGUUGCGAA